Molecule: long non-coding RNA, 2172 nt
Filed under: Lactuca sativa (garden lettuce)
Lineage: Eukaryota; Viridiplantae; Streptophyta; Magnoliopsida; Asterales; Asteraceae
Description: long non-coding RNA (LSAT_LNC000196)
Source: RNAcentral
UCGCCCUUCUACAUUUGCAACUGUCCUUCUUGCACAAACGAAUAUACCCGAUGCAGAUGGUUUCAUACAUUUCUCGCAGUCUUUUCAUCUAAGAACUUACAUUCUCGAAUCCAACUCCUCCGAUUCAUAAGGUAUUUCGACUGCAAUCUCUUUCUCUUUCAAGUUUCAUCAUCGACUUCUCCCACUCUUACUCAAUUUAUUCUCAAUUUUGACAAAACUGUUUCUUGAUAUGCAAAAUUUUCUGAUUUCUGAUUUCGUUUCCGACUCUCUGCAAUUGAUGUUUCCGCUGUCUUCUCUUCCAAGAAUUAACAGUUUUGACUCCAACUCUUCCGAUUGAUAAGGUAUAUCAAUUGCAGUCUCUUUCUCUUUCAUCUUCUGAUCAUCGAUUUUCCCCAAUGUUUCUGAAUUUGUUCAACUUAUCGACAAAAAAAACUUCUUAAUGUGUACAUUUUCUGAUUUUUGAUUUCGUUCUGAAUCUCUAGAAUUGGCAUCCCCGCCGUCUUCUCCUCUAACAAUUUACUCUGUAGUGUUUAUUCUCCAAGCGAAGACCCUCUUUUGCAAUUAUCACACCUCCCCGCCCCCUCCAGUGGAAACGAUAAUAUCUCAUUCUUGCAAUUGUAGUGAAAGCGGCACCGGUGGCGAUGGUGGCUUCCACACAACCGUCUUCCGAUUGAUGCAAGAGGAUUGGUCCAUCUGUUGCUCCUGUAUUAUAGGGCUCUAUCAAUUUGGGCAACGAUUUUGAGCAAUCGCUAACGAAUUUUGUUGGAGGUCGGCAAUUUCCAUUUAAAGACGUAAAUGCCCUGAGAAGAUUUCGAUCGUCAAGUCUAAGAAGAAAAAGAGCGUCGCCAUGCUUUGCGUAAGGUCGAUUCAAUAUGUAUUUUCUGAAAUAGCUCCAUUAUAUUUCCUCUUUUGUUUCAUUCAACAACAUAAUUGUGCAAUUGACGUAAGAUGAAAUUAGGGCUUUUUGUUUUGGUUUUAUAUUAUUCAAUUUCUCAAAAGAUCAAGAAUUUGGGGAAUCAUGGACUUCCUUAUUGGUCUGAUGUGUUUAGCAGUGUUGGAAGUUUACUCCCUAUCAAUGGAGGGAAGGCUGCUCAACAGACCAAUUUAUCAUCAAUGGUUCCUCAUUUCUUCUUUUUUCUAAAGAUUGAACUGACAUUUCUUCUUUGUUCCAAAGACUGACCUAACAUUCGAGUAAUUUUCACUGCUAAUCUUUGUCUUUGAGAAGUAGUGCAUCAUCUAAACGAAAAUUUGAUAUUUUCCUGUUAAUCUUGUAGAAGAUUGGAGAAUUGAUUUUAAAAGGGGGUCACUUCUAUGUGUACGCUUAUCUUUUUGUUUUUUUUGGACAACUGUAGGAAUAGGAUCAUCUAAAGACACUAUUGUGAGCAUCCGUAGACCAAGACUUAUCAAAAACAGCCUCAUAUAGUUGUGUAGAUUAAGUGCUUUACCCAUUAACUCUAUUAAGUGAAAAGGAAGCUCAUUAGUGUCCAAUUAUGCAAGCCUAACCAUAAAUACCAUGGAGUAGAGAUUUUGAUGCCACUAAUUUGCGAUUGAGGAUAGGAGAAGGAAGAAGAGCUCCUACAAAUGGGGUAUUUUGAAAAACCUUAUCUUAAACUUAAAACCUCGAACUGCUCCUAAGUUAAUUUACAUUUACGUCCUUUAUUUGCUUUUGCAUUACAUACAACAUUGAAGUAAUGAUGUCGUUUCUUUCUACUCAUACAUGUUAUGGAUUCAAGGUUAUUAGCUAAAUUAUGCCCUCAAUCACUAUACUUUCAGGUACAACACAUUCAUGCACAUGUGGUCUCCUGCUGGUCAAACCGGAUUGUUUGGAAUGCAUGAAGUUAUGAAUCACGGUUGCGAUUUCAUAAAUGGACAAGGAAGCAAAAAAAGAUGGAUCUAACAGAGUAACAAUAAUAGGGAAGUGUGACUUCUAGCUCAUACUAAAAUUACUUUAUCUAUGCAUUAUUUGAUUUUAUUUAAUCCUUUUAUUAUUGUCACAAAAUUUUUUGAUUUCCGAAUAUAUCAACAGUUACCUAAAAACAAAAAAAGCUUCAUCAUAUUCCCAUUAAAACCUAGCGUGUUUGAGAACCCAUAAAUGACUAUUAAACACAGAUAAUCUUUUUUCAAUAAAUACGUUGUCCCGUGGUGAACCACGGGAUCACCUCCUAGUUAGUA